GGGGGGGGUGGCAGGGAGAGAAAUGCAGGCUUCUGGAGGAAGGUGAGAGCAUCCUUGCACAAAGAACUUGUUACAGAGGAUUGGCAGAGAGGUCACUAAUUUCUUCUACAGCUUCCAACCUGCUUCCAGCAAAGGGGAAUGGCAAGAUGAACAUCAAUGUCAGACUGACCAUUUGUGCUGCAAUGACCAUUUUAUUGCUAAAGAAGAGCCCUGGUACAGAAUGAUUCCUAUACAUGGAACCACGGGGCAGCAUGUGGUGAAGUGGUAGAGCUCUGGAGACCCGGGUUCGAUCCUGACUACGGGUGCUGCCUGCACGGAGUUUAUACCUUCCCCCCGUGACCUGCGGGGGUUUACUCCUCCCCCACUCCAAAGGCGUUCAAUGAAUUAAAUAAAUCGGGAAGGUUGUUAUCAAGAAUCAAAUACAAUUCAAGUCAAGAAUGUUUAAUGGUCAAAAACAGAACAAAGGAGGGCAAUAAAAGAACUUCCCAUGCCGCCGUACGGUACAUUCACUGGCUGUGGCUGAAGAGGAAAGAUGCUGUCUGGGCUGCCACGGGACCAUUUAGAGGUUAACCAUAAGACACACACCCGGGUCUGAUCACCCUGCGGUGGGCCUGCCUCGACUGAGGGUGUCUUGUGAUAAAAGGCCCAAACACCCAGUGACGUUGAGGUACACAACUGAAGAUGUGUCUGAUUGUUAGCAAAUUCAAUUGUAGUGAAAUCAUAGGGAUUGUAACACCCAGUCCUAUUAGUCAAUCUUACUUGCUGCGUUUAACUAUUACUAACCGUAAAUGCAACAAUGCACAGAUAAUAUAUAAUGACCAAAAAUACAAAAAAACAUUUUUAUGAUAACCAUAAAACUGCAAAAACGGUGUCCAUAGUGCAACCAAAUGCACAGUCCCUGGAAGAUCACAGUUGCUGUGGUUAGUGUUGUGUAGCGCUGGUUGCUGGGAAGAAGCUGUUCUUGAACCAGGUGGCCAGGUGUCCUGGCUCUUGCACCUUCUCUCCAAUGAUAGUAGCAAAAUGACCAGGAUAGUGGGGAAGUUUGUAUCUGGGAUGGAUCGGGCAGAGCUGCCCCUUCUGCAUUUAGGUUGGCAAACUAGGCCAUGACAUACUCAAUCAAUAUGCUCUCCUUCAUACACCGGUGGAAGGAAGUUCAACAGAGUAUUUGUCGAUAUACCCGUUCUCCUCAAUCCUCUAUGGAAGUAGAGACACGAUGAGCUUUCUUUCUGAUUGCAUUGAGUCCUGGGCCCAGGACAAAUCUUCAGAGAGAUGCACGCUCAGGAACUUGAAGUGUUUAGUCUCUCUCACAACCCCAUUGAUGAAGACUGGUUCAUCAAUCCCUGGCUUUCCCCUUCUGAAGUCAACAAUCAGAUCCCUGGUCUUGCUAACAUUGAGAACAAGAUUAUUGGCACCAUUCCGUCAGAUUUUCAAUGCCCCUCCCCCCUGUUCUCUCUCAUCGCCAGCCAUUAUGCAUCCAACAAUAGUGAUAAUGUCAGUAAAUUUAAAGAUGGUGUUGGAACAAAGUCCAGCUGCUGGAUUCUUGUUGAAAAAACUCUGGUUCACUUCAAGGAAGAAAAUCUAUAUCCUAACCAGGUCGGCCUGUGUGAGUUUAGACUCAUAAUGAUAUGGUUAACUCUUAACUGCCCUCUAAAUUGUCUGAGUAUGCCAUUCAUUUGUGAAAGGUUACUACCACUUAGAAUGUGAUUCUACAAAGUUACUCUUCUCUACAAUGGUGUUAAAUACCAUUUUUUUUAUCAGUGACUGGUUAUUAUAAAUGACAAAUAAUUGAAUAUUAUUGAUGUUUAAAAAAAAUUAAUGUAUAUUAACUGUGUGUGUUUGCAUUGACUGGUCUGUUAAGCAGCUGCGAGUGAGAAUUUCAUUGUUCCCUUGUCGGUAUAUAUGACAAUUAUAACACUCUUGACAUCCUUGUACCAAUACUGAAUAUUAAAAAAUGGACUUUGUAGAAUUGGUUGUAUUCUGUACAAAGGAACCUCUGUCAUCUGUCUUGGGACUCCAGCGUCAGCCUGCAGUCUCAUCCUGAGUUGACUGCUAGUCUAGGGUGGCAUGGUGGGGCAGCGGUAGAGUUGCUGCCUUACAGCGCCAGAGACCCAGGUUUGAUCCUGACCACAGGUGCUGUCUGUACAGAGUUUGUAUAUUCUCUCUGUGACCUGCGUGGGUUUUCUCCAAGAUCUUCGGUUUCCUCCCACACUCCAAAGGUGUACAGGUUUGCAGGUUAAUUGGCUUGGUAUAAAUGUAAAUUGUCCCUAGUGUGUGUAGGAUAGUGCUAGUGUGCGGG
Molecule: long non-coding RNA, 2296 nt
Organism: Leucoraja erinaceus (little skate)
Lineage: Eukaryota; Metazoa; Chordata; Chondrichthyes; Rajiformes; Rajidae
Exons: 3
Source: RefSeq, a predicted model, not a curated record